Molecule: long non-coding RNA, 211 nt
Filed under: Gossypium barbadense (sea-island cotton)
Lineage: Eukaryota; Viridiplantae; Streptophyta; Magnoliopsida; Malvales; Malvaceae
Description: long non-coding RNA (GBAR_LNC005543)
Source: RNAcentral
GGGCGUGGCGUAAGAGGGCUGUAUGCUGGUGCUCAGGUAUGGGGGCGUGGCGUGGCUGUUGGAGGCAUUGUCUGGUUGCGGCGCAAGGGAUAGAACCCUAGGGUUUUAGAGUUGUAAUUUUCUGGGCCUAUCGGGCCUAUAUUUUGGGUCUUGGGUCAUUGGGGUUAAUCUGGUUUUAGGAUAUUUGAUUUUGGGUUGUAUUCAUUAUUGG